GCUACACAUGCAAGUCGAACGGUAGCACAGAGAGCUUGCUCUCGGGUGACGAGUGGCGGACGGGUGAGUAAUGUCUGGGAAACUGCCUGAUGGAGGGGGAUAACUACUGGAAACGGUAGCUAAUACCGCAUAACGUCGCAAGACCAAAGAGGGGGACCUUCGGGCCUCUUGCCAUCAGAUGUGCCCAGAUGGGAUUAGCUAGUAGGCGGGGUAACGGCCCACCUAGGCGACGAUCCCUAGCUGGUCUGAGAGGAUGACCAGCCACACUGGAACUGAGACACGGUCCAGACUCCUACGGGAGGCAGCAGUGGGGAAUAUUGCACAAUGGGCGCAAGCCUGAUGCAGCCAUGCCGCGUGUGUGAAGAAGGCCUUCGGGUUGUAAAGCACUUUCAGCGGGGAGGAAGGCGGUACGGUUAAUAACCGUGCCGAUUGACGUUACCCGCAGAAGAAGCACCGGCUAACUCCGUGCCAGCAGCCGCGGUAAUACGGAGGGUGCAAGCGUUAAUCGGAAUUACUGGGCGUAAAGCGCACGCAGGCGGUCUGUCAAGUCGGAUGUGAAAUCCCCGGGCUCAACCUGGGAACUGCAUUCGAAACUGGCAGGCUGGAGUCUCGUAGAGGGAGGUAGAAUUCCAGGUGUAGCGGUGAAAUGCGUAGAGAUCUGGAGGAAUACCGGUGGCGAAGGCGGCCUCCUGGACGAAGACUGACGCUCAGGUGCGAAAGCGUGGGGAGCAAACAGGAUUAGAUACC
This 747-nucleotide ribosomal RNA is filed under the name Enterobacter cloacae. RNAcentral's name for it is "bacterial SSU rRNA". It matches the Rfam family "Bacterial small subunit ribosomal RNA", at positions 48 to 786 of the family's 1533-position model. The record is from RNAcentral. Lineage: Bacteria; Pseudomonadati; Pseudomonadota; Gammaproteobacteria; Enterobacterales; Enterobacteriaceae.